UACGGAGGGUGCAAGCGUUGUUCGGAAUUACUGGGCGUAAAGCGCGCGCAGGCGGAUGGGCAAGUCGGGGGUGAAAGCCUGGGGCUCAACCCCGGGACGUCUCCCGAUACUGCUCGUCUAGAGACCGGUAGGGGCAGGUGGAAUUCCCGGUGUAGCGGUGGAAUGCGUAGAUAUCGGGAAGAACACCGGUGGCGAAGGCGGCCUGCUGGGCCGGUUCUGACGCUGAGGCGCGAAAGCGUGGGGAGCAAACAGG
This 253-nucleotide unclassified non-coding RNA is filed under the name uncultured Gemmatimonadota bacterium. RNAcentral's name for it is "uncultured Gemmatimonadetes bacterium contains 16S-23S intergenic spacer region". It matches the Rfam family "Bacterial small subunit ribosomal RNA", at positions 524 to 776 of the family's 1533-position model. The record is from RNAcentral. Lineage: Bacteria; Pseudomonadati; Gemmatimonadota.